RNAcentral lists this transfer RNA (75 nucleotides) under Chloroflexota bacterium. RNAcentral's name for it is "tRNA-Lys". It matches the Rfam family "tRNA". Rfam says of the family: Transfer RNA (tRNA) molecules are approximately 80 nucleotides in length. Their secondary structure includes four short double-helical elements and three loops (D, anti-codon, and T loops). Lineage: Bacteria; Bacillati; Chloroflexota. The record is from RNAcentral. RNAcentral also lists the same sequence under 1 other name.
GGGCCUGUAGCUCAGCGGUAGAGCACUGGACUUUUAAUCCAUUGGUCGUGGGUUCGAAUCCCACCGGGCUCACCA